UCCCCUGUAAAUAAUUCUAUUAUAGAGCAAUCCAAGCUCAACGGUUGUUUCGGACCGACUCCCUUUCCUCUCCCUCACCAUAAUUUCUCUCGACUAGGCUUCACCAUGAGUUCUUACGAUCACCACCAGGCUCCGCCUACAUCAUACCCACCGCCAGGACAGGCCUGUCCUCCGCCGGCGGAAGGCUACCCGGCGAGCUAUGCAGCGCCUCCUCCGGCGGGUUAUCCUGUGAAGGAUGGGGCAGCGUACCGCCCGCGAGUUCCAGUGGAGACCAAGAGCCGAGGCCUUGGCUUCUGGAAAGGCCUUGGCUCGUUCUUGAAAGGAUGCUGUUCCCCCUUGUGCGGCUGCUCUCUGAACGCGUGCUGCUGCGGCUGCUUCUCUGCGGAGGUGGGCUGCGGCUGCUGCUGAAACUGGACGGAAUUCUACAAACGCUUUCUGCUCUUUUUUUUUUUUUUUUUUAAGAUAGGAGGUCUUAUAUGUUUGAUGUAUGCAAUGAAUUUGCAACAAACAUUUCCAAAU
This is a long non-coding RNA of Elaeis guineensis (African oil palm), 519 nucleotides long. RefSeq lists it as uncharacterized. Lineage: Eukaryota; Viridiplantae; Streptophyta; Magnoliopsida; Arecales; Arecaceae. The record is from RefSeq and is a predicted model, not a curated record.